Molecule: long non-coding RNA, 777 nt
Organism: Apis florea (little honeybee)
Lineage: Eukaryota; Metazoa; Arthropoda; Insecta; Hymenoptera; Apidae
Source: RefSeq, a predicted model, not a curated record
AAUUUAAAUUAUAUUAGAAUAAAAUUCACGUCUUGCACGCUCCCUAUGGCUUUUCUCUUGCUUGUAUUUCUAUAUAUCGACGUCAUUCGUUCUGAAAUAAUUCAAUAAUGGCUUUUUUUUUUAAUAAGAGAUCAAUAUCUUUAUUUUGAAUGAAAAGCAGCAUCUUCGAUGGUAAUUUGAUAUCAGCAGAAUCUUAGGAUACACAUACAAACAAAAAGAGACCUUAGAUUAUUAACGACGGUAAGAAAGAGAAAUGUCAAUGAACUUUUGAACGUCCAAUAAGAAGUUUACGAAGAUAAGUGGCGGUGAAAAAAUUCGCAGGAUUCGAUUGUGGAGAUCUGGCAAGGAUCUCACCUCGUUUCCACGGACACUUGCCGCUGAUCCGCAACCUGCGUUAAAUUUAUGCGAGAACAAACCGCGUCGGACAUACUAGCAAUUAAAACUGUAAUUGCAGGCAAGAAAAUUGGAUAAGAAAGACUUAUCCGAUCUUCUCGAUGGACGGCUUUCAAAGUUUCAGUAAAAGUGAUAGCUACUCGUAAUUUCACCCUUCGGUAUGAUGCUCUUAUCCAUGAAUAUCCAUCCUAUUCUUAGUAAAGGUGCAGGAUGAUUUUUUUUUGGAACAGAUUCUUUUAUCUUUAACGAGUAUAUUAAUUUGCAAAAUCUUCAAAUCUUAUAUUUUUCAAUAUAUUUUUAGGAAAAAUAAUACUAGUAAAAUUAUUAUAGUUUCAAAUAAUAUAUGACACAUUUUAAUACUGAUUUAUUGAGUCGUAUCGUGUA